GGUUAAGCGACUAAGCGUACACGGUGGAUGCCCUGGCAGUCAGAGGCGAUGAAGGGCGUGCUAAUCUGCGAUAAGCGCCGGUAAGGUGAUAUGAACCGUUAUAACCGGCGAUACCCGAAUGGGGAAACCCAGUGUGACUCGUCACACUAUCAUUAACUGAAUCCAUAGGUUAAUGAGGCGAACCGGGGGAACUGAAACAUCUAAGUACCCCGAGGAAAAGAAAUCAACCGAGAUUCCCCCAGUAGCGGCGAGCGAACGGGGAGGAGCCCAGAGCCUGAAUCAGCAUGUGUGUUAGUGGAAGCGUCUGGAAAGGCGCGCGAUACAGGGUGACAGCCCCGUACACAAAAGCGCAUGUGCUGUGAGCUCGAUGAGUAGGGCGGGACACGUGGUAUCCUGUCUGAAUAUGGGGGGACCAUCCUCCAAGGCUAAAUACUCCUGACUGACCGAUAGUGAACCAGUACCGUGAGGGAAAGGCGAAAAGAACCCCGGCGAGGGGAGUGAAAAAGAACCUGAAACCGUGUACGUACAAGCAGUGGGAGCACCCUUUGGGGUGUGACUGCGUACCUUUUGUAUAAUGGGUCAGCGACUUAUAUUCUGUAGCAAGGUUAACCGAAUAGGGGAGCCGGAGGGAAACCGAGUCUUAAUUGGGCGUUAAGUUGCAGGGUAUAGACCCGAAACCCGGUGAUCUAGCCAUGGGCAGGUUGAAGGUUGGGUAACACUAACUGGAGGACCGAACCGACUAAUGUUGAAAAAUUAGCGGAUGACCUGUGGCUGGGGGUGAAAGGCCAAUCAAACCGGGAGAUAGCUGGUUCUCCCCGAAAGCUAUUUAGGUAGCGCCUCGUGAAUUCAUCUCCGGGGGUAGAGCACUGUUUCGGCUAGGGGGCCAUCCCGGCUUACCAACCCGAUGCAAACUGCGAAUACCGGAGAAUGUUAUCACGGGAGACACACGGCGGGUGCUAACGUCCGUCGUGAAGAGGGAAACAACCCAGACCGCCAGCUAAGGUCCCAAAGUCAUGGUUAAGUGGGAAACGAUGUGGGAAGGCCCAGACAGCCAGGAUGUUGGCUUAGAAGCAGCCAUCAUUUAAAGAAAGCGUAAUAGCUCACUGGUCGAGUCGGCCUGCGCGGAAGAUGUAACGGGGCUAAACCAUGCACCGAAGCUGCGGCAGCGAACGUAUCACUUAAAGCGAUUCAGCGGGUUACGAUUGACGGAGCGAAGCGACGUCAAAGCGUAUACAAAGUCGAGUCGGUUUAAGGAUACGUUCGUUGGGUAGGGGAGCGUUCUGUAAGCCUGUGAAGGUGGCCUGUGAGGGUUGCUGGAGGUAUCAGAAGUGCGAAUGCUGACAUAAGUAACGAUAAAGCGGGUGAAAAGCCCGCUCGCCGGAAGACCAAGGGUUCCUGUCCAACGUUAAUCGGGGCAGGGUGAGUCGACCCCUAAGGCGAGGCCGAAAGGCGUAGUCGAUGGGAAACGGGUUAAUAUUCCCGUACUUGGUGUUACUGCGAAGGGGGGACGGAGAAGGCUAUGUUGGCCGGGCGACGGUUGUCCCGGUUUAAGCGUGUAGGUGUGUGUUCCAGGUAAAUCCGGUUCACUUUAACACUGAGGCGUGACGACGAGGCACUACGGUGCUGAAGCAACAAAUGCCCUGCUUCCAGGAAAAGCCUCUAAGCAUCAGGUAACAUCAAAUCGUACCCCAAACCGACACAGGUGGUCAGGUAGAGAAUACCAAGGCGCUUGAGAGAACUCGGGUGAAGGAACUAGGCAAAAUGGUGCCGUAACUUCGGGAGAAGGCACGCUGACACGUAGGUGAAGUGAUUUACUCACGGAGCUGAAGUCAGUCGAAGAUACCAGCUGGCUGCAACUGUUUAUUAAAAACACAGCACUGUGCAAACACGAAAGUGGACGUAUACGGUGUGACGCCUGCCCGGUGCCGGAAGGUUAAUUGAUGGGGUCAGCGCAAGCGAAGCUCCUGAUCGAAGCCCCGGUAAACGGCGGCCGUAACUAUAACGGUCCUAAGGUAGCGAAAUUCCUUGUCGGGUAAGUUCCGACCUGCACGAAUGGCGUAAUGAUGGCCAGGCUGUCUCCACCCGAGACUCAGUGAAAUUGAACUCGCUGUGAAGAUGCAGUGUACCCGCGGCAAGACGGAAAGACCCCGUGAACCUUUACUAUAGCUUGACACUGAACAUUGAGCCUUGAUGUGUAGGAUAGGUGGGAGGCUUUGAAGUGUGGACGCCAGUCUGCAUGGAGCCGACCUUGAAAUACCACCCUUUAAUGUUUGAUGUUCUAACGUGGACCCGUAAUCCGGGUUGCGGACAGUGUCUGGUGGGUAGUUUGACUGGGGCGGUCUCCUCCUAAAGAGUAACGGAGGAGCACGAAGGUUGGCUAAUCCUGGUCGGACAUCAGGAGGUUAGUGCAAUGGCAUAAGCCAGCUUGACUGCGAGCGUGACGGCGCGAGCAGGUGCGAAAGCAGGUCAUAGUGAUCCGGUGGUUCUGAAUGGAAGGGCCAUCGCUCAACGGAUAAAAGGUACUCCGGGGAUAACAGGCUGAUACCGCCCAAGAGUUCAUAUCGACGGCGGUGUUUGGCACCUCGAUGUCGGCUCAUCACAUCCUGGGGCUGAAGUAGGUCCCAAGGGUAUGGCUGUUCGCCAUUUAAAGUGGUACGCGAGCUGGGUUUAGAACGUCGUGAGACAGUUCGGUCCCUAUCUGCCGUGGGCGCUGGAGAACUGAGGGGGGCUGCUCCUAGUACGAGAGGACCGGAGUGGACGCAUCACUGGUGUUCGGGUUGUCAUGCCAAUGGCACUGCCCGGUAGCUAAAUGCGGAAGAGAUAAGUGCUGAAAGCAUCUAAGCACGAAACUUGCCCCGAGAUGAGUUCUCCCUGAGACUUUAGGUCUCCUGAAGGAACGUUGAAGACGACGACGUUGAUAGGCCGGGUGUGUAAGCGCAGCGAUGCGUUGAGCUAACCGGUACUAAUGAACCGUGAGGCUUAACCUU
This 2987-nucleotide ribosomal RNA is filed under the name Salmonella enterica subsp. enterica serovar Corvallis. RNAcentral describes it as "23S ribosomal RNA". It matches the Rfam family "Bacterial large subunit ribosomal RNA". Lineage: Bacteria; Pseudomonadati; Pseudomonadota; Gammaproteobacteria; Enterobacterales; Enterobacteriaceae. The record is from RNAcentral.